GUCGGCCAAAAAAGAAAAUGUAAACAACGCACCGAUUGGCUUACAACGAAAUUUGCCAUUGUUAAUGACGAACAUUUGGGUGGGUCAAACCAUGGAUAAUAAAAUAAAUGGAUAGGAAACUAGCUGACGUGACCUAAUGUUUUCAAUGGACUGAUGGCGUGAUUGGAUGUUGAAACCUAGUUGCAAACCAAAUUCUCAAAAACGGCGUGUUUAGCAAUAAAACAGCUAAACAUUUUAGUCAAAGAGCAAAUGAAUAUAACUACGCCAUUCUACAAUGAAAUCUCUAAGUAUUCCCGGUCAAUUUAUUAGCGAAUAUUUCGAGCGCUAAACAGUGAAAAAUGCAUCCCAAAUCUCGUUAAUAUUGGGGACGUCAGUUUCGUAGCUACAAAUGUAAAAAAAUACAAAACAAAGACGAAAAACAUUUACCUUGAAUACUUUGUCGUUGGUUAGGCAUGCUUUUGAAACAAUUAGACCAGUUCAUGCUUCAAUAUUACUCUUUUAAAGCAGAAAGUCUAGCGAAACAACAAAAAUGCUCAGAACUUUGCAAUAAGCGUGACGUCACAGAUUGCAACUAGGUUGUUUUUGCUUACUUCAGCUAGAGUCCUAUCCAUUUAUAUUAUUAUCCAUGGCCAAACUUUACCCUUUUUUCUUUUUCUUUUGUUUUUGAUUAUGCACUCGGCUAAUUAAAAUCAGUAGUGCGGGAGGGCCAUUAGUAAGAACACCGUUUAGGUAAUAAUGCUGUUCAUCCCUCAGUAAAUUUUGAUGUAGUAACAAUAAUAAUUAAAUUACGAACGGUAAGCUCGUCAAGUCCGAGAUAAGGCCGGACAAAACAUGGAUUCACGGCGCUAUAAAACAUAUGUUGCAUAUUUCUAGCUUCAUGAAUGGUUAGGCUUCAUGAUCAUAAGAAAUAAGCACUAAUUCUAAAAAAUACUAACCUUUACACCCAGCCAUAUCAUUAAAUAGAUAGUAGCCAGGAGGACAAAUACAUUCAAAUGAACCAUCCGUAUCUCUACAUACAAAUUUUUUGUUUUCAUUACAAUCGUCUAUUCCUUGUGCACAUUCAUCAACUGAAAAAAAA
This is a non-coding RNA of Paramuricea clavata, 1078 nucleotides long. Lineage: Eukaryota; Metazoa; Cnidaria; Anthozoa; Malacalcyonacea; Plexauridae. The record is from the annotation of a GenBank genome assembly.